GGGGGCGUCACGGUUUCGACGGGGAUCAUUGAGGUGAGGGCUGCGUGCCGAGGUUCCGACUGGGCUCGUUAAAAAAGUCGGGCUAAAGAUAAGCGCAAACACAAACUACGCUUACGCCACUGCUUAAUUGACAGUGACCGUUCCUCCGGUUCUUUCCUGAAGGGCCAAAAGGAGCGUCGACAAAUCAGGAUAGCUUACCGCCGAAGCUUAUAAGCGGGAUGCGAAAAUUUUUAAGCUGGUCCCUCCCGAAUCCUGCCGCGGGAGUCGGAGGGGACGAGAUUCAAUUCAACGGCUAAGCACGUAGAUGCUCCUUGCUGAAGGUUUUCGGACGCGGGUUCGACUCCCGCCGCCUCCACCA
This 358-nucleotide transfer-messenger RNA is filed under the name Deltaproteobacteria bacterium. It matches the Rfam family "transfer-messenger RNA". Rfam says of the family: Bacterial tmRNA, also known as 10Sa RNA or SsrA, is named for its dual tRNA and mRNA-like properties. Its role is to liberate the mRNA from a stalled ribosome. To accomplish this part of the tmRNA is used as a reading frame that ends in a translation stop signal. Lineage: Bacteria; Pseudomonadati; Myxococcota; Myxococcia. The record is from RNAcentral.